RNAcentral lists this ribosomal RNA (446 nucleotides) under uncultured bacterium. Its description in RNAcentral is "partial 16S ribosomal RNA". It matches the Rfam family "Bacterial small subunit ribosomal RNA", at positions 329 to 792 of the family's 1533-position model. The record is from RNAcentral.
GGCCAGACUCCUACGGGAGGCAGCAGUGGGGAAUAUUGCACAAUGGGGGAAACCCUGAUGCAGCGACGCCGCGUGAGUGAAGAAGUAUUUCGGUAUGUAAAGCUCUAUCAGCAGGGAAGAAAAUGACGGUACCUGACUAAGAAGCCCCGGCUAACUACGUGCCAGCAGCCGCGGUAAUACGUAGGGGGCGAGCGUUAUCCGGAUUCACUGGGUGUAAAGGGAGCGUAGACGGCCAAGCAAGCCAGGGGUGAAAGCCCGGGGCCCAACCCCGGGACUGCCCUUGGAACUGCACGGCUGGAGUGCGGGAGGGGCAGGCGGAAUUCCUGGUGUAGCGGUGAAAUGCGUAGAUAUCAGGAGGAACACCGGUGGCGAAGGCGGCCUGCUGGACUGCGACUGACGUUGAGGCUCGAAAGCGUGGGGAGCAAACAGGAUUAGAUACCCCUGUA